This 503-nucleotide ribosomal RNA is filed under the name uncultured bacterium. RNAcentral describes it as "partial 16S ribosomal RNA". It matches the Rfam family "Bacterial small subunit ribosomal RNA", at positions 30 to 523 of the family's 1533-position model. The record is from RNAcentral.
AUUGAACGCUGGCGGCAGGCUUAACACAUGCAAGUCGAGCGGGGUGAUGGUGCUUGCACUAUCACUUAGCGGCGGACGGGUGAGUAAUGCUUAGGAAUCUGCCUAUUAGUGGGGGACGACAUCUCGAAAGGGAUGCUAAUACCGCAUACGUCCUACGGGAGAAAGCAGGGGAUCACUUGUGACCUUGCGCUAAUAGAUGAGCCUAAGUCGGAUUAGCUAGUGGGUGGGGUAAAGGCCUACCAAGGCGACGAUCUGUAGCGGGUCUGAGAGGAUGAUCCGCCACACUGGGACUGAGACACGGCCCAGACUCCUACGGGAGGCAGCAGUGGGGAAUAUUGGACAAUGGGGGGAACCCUGAUCCAGCCAUGCCGCGUGUGUGAAGAAGGCCUUAUGGUUGUAAAGCACUUUAAGCGAGGAGGAGGCUCUUUUGGUUAAUACCCAAGAUGAGUGGACGUUACUCGCAGAAUAAGCACCGGCUAACUCUGUGCCAGCAGCCGCCGUAA